Non-coding RNA from Cinara cedri, 373 nucleotides. NCBI's taxonomy places the organism in Eukaryota, Metazoa, Arthropoda, Insecta, Hemiptera, Aphididae. The record is from the annotation of a GenBank genome assembly.
AAAUGUCGUAAUGUCACGUAUCCCGUUAUAAUUAAAUUGAUUUUCUAGGGAAAUGCAACAUACAUGUAUAAUUUACGAGAAAAAAUGUAUUUUGUUUCUGUUAUGUGUUAAAUUUUAGUAUUGUGUAAAAGUAAAAUUAAUUCGAAUGUACCUAUUCGCAUUGUAUUUUAGGUAUAUAAUUUUAAACGAUUUAAAAAAAAAAAAGGAUCUAUCGACGAACGUUUCAUUUUCGACAGACAAAUUAACGUCACGCUAAUCUAACCCAACCGGGGUAACCUACAAAACAAUAUUGUACUCUGUAUACUUGCCGGUAAUUAAAUAUGAACGAAAAUUGCACGUUAUCGGCAACAAUAAUAAUAAUAAUUAGGGCUUG